Pelobates cultripes (western spadefoot toad) is the source of this 213-nucleotide non-coding RNA. NCBI's taxonomy places the organism in Eukaryota, Metazoa, Chordata, Amphibia, Anura, Pelobatidae. The record is from the annotation of a GenBank genome assembly.
GCACAGUGUUGAUAGUGCUGCUCAUGUUAUAUAGAUUAAGCAUUACUUGUGGUGCAGUGACCUAACCAUUAGUGUGUGCGUUCAGGUGCUUAGUACUAUGGUAAGAGACAAUGAGUGUGCUCUGGGAAACCUGUUAGGCUUCAUGAGAAAGACAGACUUAUAAUAUAGGAGCACCCCGAGACCCCAGCGACAGGCGUUUGAGUUCCGAUGCCC